UAUUAUUUACUUCCAGUGUCUAACCAUUCUAUUAUCAUAUCUGUAUCUUGGUUAUGAAUAGAUGGUUAACUCCACAAGGCUGAUUACAACUGCAGGUUUCUUUGGGCAGGUCUUCAUUCAGUGUGUAAAGGCCUGCCAAAAAUCCUGUGCCAUAGCUGUGCUGUAAAUAUAUAAGAGCCAGGAAAGAAGAAUGCUAGUUAGGGUGAAUGGAAGCAGUGUGCAAUGAAAAUUCAGCUCACACAAGAGCGCUCCAGCUGGUGUGAAUUGAACAGAGGACUAAGGACUGACAGCCAAAAAAUCUAAAUAUAAAUAAAGAAAAGAGCGCAUGUUUAGGGCCACUGCCUGUUUGUGGUUUUCUGCCUUGUCUGGUGACAGAAGCACUGCAUGUCACUCAAGUAUGUGAUUUUAAUAUGUGCCAUAGUAUGAUGAAAGAAAUUCAAAUUAGGCCUGUGUUACCCAACACAAGCUGCAAAAGGUACGUCAGGUCAAGUACCAAUAUAAAAUGGUCACCUCUGCACUGUCCUCAUUUUUAGGAACACUCAAGCCCGGCCCAGUGGAUCAAAUGGAGUGGGGUGUAACUGGGAACAAAAUCAGCCAGCUGCUGUAAUUCUCCUAUGCCUUCCAAGCACAGUUUAUACAGGGACAAGGCAAGAGGCGGCUUAGACUUUUAUGAAUUCCUGUAUUAACCAGUUCAAUGUACGACUGCAGUUUGCUCUCUCGGGCCAGUGCAAAAGCACUGCCUUUUUGGUGCGCAAUAUUUGUUGAACUAAAAAAAAAGCCCUACGGAUUCAUUAAAACAAUAGGAGUACUGUUCUGUGAGGAGCAGACCCUUCAGUUAACUCAUUAGUUGCAAGGAUGAUCACAAUGCAUGAUUAUUCAUAUAGCUUUCAGAGAGAGAGACUUUCACAUAGUUUAAUCUGCAUUUAUAUGACCACAGUGUAUAUUGGGCAAGCAGGGUAGUCUUGCCAGUGUUUCUAAUGAGGGGUUUUAAGUGUCUAUUUUAAUGCAGCAUGUCCUCGAAGCAGCAGGUUUUAUUUUUCUUUAACAUUUCUACAACUUCAGCAGUGUAACAACUACAUAUAAAUUGUGGGGCUGCAGUUAAUGGCCUGUGUUACUAUGCAAAGAGCUGUUGCAGAACUACAAGUAUCCACAUCACUUGACAGAAUGUAAUAAAAGCAAGUAUCCAAGUAAAAUUUCCACCUAUCCCACCUAAAAAUACAUAUUCCCUAGUUAAUGUAGUGUUUAUUUUAUUUUAAAAUGCAUAAAAAUGUCAUGUAAUUUAUAUAAACUGGCUGAUUAACAAAACUAAAAAAGUAUUCUGUGGCCAACAGCUAUAAUGUUAAAAAUGAAUGCUAUUUAGUAUUCUUAAAAAUUUUCAGGAAAAAAUGUUAAGGGAGCAGCUAAUGGAAAAGCAUUUUUGAUAACGCAUUCCUUUCUUUUAUUUUGCAGACAUUCAUUUUUUGCGGGGGAGCAGGUAGUUGGCAUUUUACCCAUUGGUUGCUGGAUAGUUAACAAAACUCCCAGCAGAGCUCCAAAAAAGAAAAAAAAAAAGCUAAGCGUUUAGUGACUGAGCUGAAACACAGCUCUCAUAUCUAAGAGGGGGAUGGGAGAGGAAAGUACAGUUCACGUCCAAGAGAGAAACUCUGACUUUGGAGGAGGAUCAGGAGCAGAUCACAAGGUUCCUUUGGGGAAAUGUGAGGUUUUUCUAAAUGCUGAUUAAACCUGACUUAUUUUUC
This is a long non-coding RNA of Xenopus tropicalis (tropical clawed frog), 1736 nucleotides long. RefSeq lists it as uncharacterized. The record is from RefSeq and is a predicted model, not a curated record. Lineage: Eukaryota; Metazoa; Chordata; Amphibia; Anura; Pipidae. The transcript is spliced from 2 exons.